UUCUAGCCCUGAUUGUAGCAUUUGUUUGAGCUCUUUUUUAUUCUUUUUCUGAAUAAAAAAAGCGAGUGCGAAAAGCAGGAAAUAGC
Small RNA from Polaribacter sp. SA4-12, 86 nucleotides. It matches the Rfam family "Flavo-1 RNA". The record is from Rfam. Lineage: Bacteria; Pseudomonadati; Bacteroidota; Flavobacteriia; Flavobacteriales; Flavobacteriaceae.